AAUUAAAUAUUUUAUUGGGGUUUAUUUUAUAAUUAGUCAUAUAUGAGGGUUAAAUUGGCUACAAUUUAAAGUGGAGAAUUUACUUAUAUAUAUUUGGAAGUUUAGAAUUUAAAAGUUAUAUUCUAUUAAAGAAUAGGGACCUUCCUUAGCAAUUUUGAACAAGUGGCAUUUAUAUUCAAACUUUGACCAUUCUUUUCCACAAAAAUCACACACUAACACACACUAAAGUGUGUUGAACGGGAGGAAAUGCAGAGAAGAGAAGAAAGGGAAGAAAAGAAAAAGAAGGGAAGAAAAAGAAAAAAGAAAGAAGAAAUCUUGUGCCAACUACUUCAAUCUUGUUUAUUUAAUUCUUCAAGAGGAGGGGAUUUGGACGUGGGAACAGCAUACCAGCCCCGUUAGUCCAGCCUAUACUUGUGAGUGAAGAAUCUAUAUUUUCAAAAAGAAGAUUUUCUUUUCAUUUUAUAGAAGCAUGUUAAUUAAAUGGAAUGCUUUAUUUUCGAGAAAUAGUAAAUGAGUAUGAUUGUUUUGGAAUUAUCAUAAAAUAAUUGAUGUGAUUAUCUUACUCUAAUGCACUGAGGGGCUACGGCCGUGGGUAAAGUUAUCCAUUAUACACUGAGGGGCUACAGCCGUGUGUAAGGGUAACUCUUAUCCACUGAGGGGCUACGGCCGUGGGUAAAGUUAUCCAUUAUACACUGAGGGGCUACAGCCGUGUGUAAGGGUAACUCUUAUCCACUGAGGGGCUACGGCCGUGGGUAAAGUUAUCCAUUAUACACUGAGGGGCUACAGCCGUGUGUAAGGGUAACUCUUAUCCACUGAGGGGCUACGGCCGUGUACAGAAUAUUGAUCAGACGGUUUAUGUACAUAUGAUUUAUGGCUUUCAGAUUAUUAGUAGAUGUUUACGUGGGAUAUAUAUUUUGAUGUGAAUUUUAAUUAUAUAGUGGAUUAUUAGUCUUCAGCUUA
Olea europaea var. sylvestris is the source of this 960-nucleotide long non-coding RNA. RefSeq lists it as uncharacterized. Lineage: Eukaryota; Viridiplantae; Streptophyta; Magnoliopsida; Lamiales; Oleaceae. The record is from RefSeq and is a predicted model, not a curated record. The transcript has 2 exons.